Molecule: ribosomal RNA, 253 nt
Filed under: uncultured bacterium
Lineage: Bacteria
Description: partial 16S ribosomal RNA
Rfam family: Bacterial small subunit ribosomal RNA
Source: RNAcentral
UACGAAGGGGGCUAGCGUUGCUCGGAAUUACUGGGCGUAAAGCGCACGUAGGCGGGUUAUUAAGUCAGAGGUGAAAGCCUGGAGCUCAACUCCAGAACUGCCUUUGAUACUGAUAGUCUUGAGUUUGUGAGAGGUAAGUGGAAUACCGAGUGUAGAGGUGAAAUUCGUAGAUAUUCGGUGGAACACCAGUGGCGAAGGCGACUUACUGGCACAAUACUGACGCUGAGGUGCGAAAGCGUGGGGAUCAAACAGG